CCCCACAUUUGCUACGCUGCAUGUGGGGCUGAAAUAUCCCGUCCCUUCGGGACU
RNAcentral lists this small RNA (54 nucleotides) under Bacteroidales bacterium Barb4. Its description in RNAcentral is "Acido-Lenti-1 RNA". It matches the Rfam family "Acido-Lenti-1 RNA". The record is from Rfam by way of RNAcentral. Lineage: Bacteria; Pseudomonadati; Bacteroidota; Bacteroidia; Bacteroidales.